Long non-coding RNA from Octopus bimaculoides (California two-spot octopus), 1619 nucleotides. The record is from RefSeq and is a predicted model, not a curated record. NCBI's taxonomy places the organism in Eukaryota, Metazoa, Mollusca, Cephalopoda, Octopoda, Octopodidae.
UGCACACACAAGGAGUCAGAAGUACACACACAUAUACAAGCACACAAACAUGAACACAAACAGGCACAUGGAUUUGCAGAAUACAUACAUACCUACAAACGUGCUCACAAGCAUACAUAUAUAUAUAUGCAUACACACAUACAUGCAUACACACAUAGAUGCAUACACACACUGUCAUACAUACAUACACACACAUACAUGCAUACAUACAAACAUAUGUGUAUGCACAUGCACACUGACGCACAUGCAUGCACACAAACAAACAAAAAAAGAACGUAAUUCCGAUAACGGACACAGUCAACGAUUACUGAAAAGGUAGCAAGACGCAACGAAAAUUUCAGCAAAAGUAAGUAAAUGAGUAAAAAUCGAACCGGUGAGUGCGUUAAAUUGAUAAGGUACUAAAAGAGAAUGACUCCCCCCAGACAAUAAUAUAUAUGUGUGUGUGUGUAAUAUAUGUAUGUGUGUUUGUGUGAGUGUAUGUGUGUGUGUGUGUGAGAGAGUUUGUUAGUGCGUGUAUCUUCAGAGUAUAAUGUAACUAGAUUGGUUUAGUAUGUCUCAGGGUCAUUACUAUUUUUCUACUAAAGUUAAGAUUUUUCAUUAAACAUACAAAUCGAGAAAAACUAACCAAAUCUAAGCAUAGAAGCGUACCUGCGUGUUAUCAUCAUCAUCAUCAUCAUCAUCAUCAUCAUCAUCAUCAUCAUCAUCAUUAUUAUUAUUAUCAUUAUCAUUAUUAUUAUUAUUAUUAUUCAGUAGUUUUAUUUUUAUAACGUGCUUUCACUUCACUACCGAGCGCAGCUCUGUGCGCCUUGGGUAUGUGCUGUGGUUUGCUGUGGUGCUCUUAUGUUUACUGUAUUGAAAGUGUUUUGCGUAGGAUGUGUGCAGUACCAAGUAGUGCAAUUUUCUGUAUGUUAUAUAUAUUUGUAAGUCCUGCUAUUUUUGUUAUGUAUUUGUCUGAAUAUUUUUUUAUUAUACCUAAGGCACCUACUAUGAUAGGAAUUGUUUCUGUUUUUAGAUUCCACAUUCGAGUUAUCUCUAUUUCCAGGUCUUUGUAUUUUGAAAGUUUUUCCAUUUCUUUCAGAGAAACGUUGUCAUCUGCUGGUAUUGAUACAUCAAUUAGAAAGCAUUUUUUUUCUUCAUGAUCUUUGACAACUAUAUCUGGUCUAUUUGCCAUUAUUAUUAUUAUUAUUAUUAUUAUUAUUAUUAUUAUUAUUAUUAUUAUUAUUAUUAUUAUUAUUUAUAUUGCUAUCAUUACCUCUGCUAUUUUAUUUCGACAGUGCGAUUUCGAAGAAUAUGAUACAAAUAAAGAUGGCCAAGUUACCAAACCAGAGUUCGUUCGAGCGAUGUAUAAGCGAUAUCUUCAAGAUCCGGAUGAUAUUGCGUUAGCUUUUAAGACGUUUGACACUGACGGUUCUGGUUGUCUCAGCGAAGAGGAACUAAAGGCGGCAAUGAAAAAGAUGUAUAUGGAUUACCAUGAUGAAAAGUAUAAAGACAUCAUUGCUCGUUUAACAAAAUGUGGUAAAAUUGAUUACAAAGAAUUUGCGCAGGCUGCUAUGAAAUUGUAAAGGCUACUUAUUUUGAGAGAUAAAAUAAAAGCGAUGUAAACAAUUACUGCUGUUUAA